AGCGAACGCUGGCGGCAGGCCUAACACAUGCAAGUCGAGCGGCCCUUCGGGGCAGCGGCGGACGGGUGAGUAACGCGUGGGAACGUGCCCUUUGGUACGGAACAACUGAGGGAAACUUCAGCUAAUACCGUAUGUGCCCUAUGGGGGAAAGAUUUAUCGCCAUUGGAGCGGCCCGCGUUAGAUUAGCUAGUUGGUAGGGUAAUGGCCUACCAAGGCGACGAUCUAUAGCUGGUCUGAGAGGAUGAUCAGCCACACUGGGACUGAGACACGGCCCAGACUCCUACGGGAGGCAGCAGUGGGGAAUCUUGCGCAAUGGGCGAAAGCCUGACGCAGCCAUGCCGCGUGAAUGAUGAAGGUCUUAGGAUUGUAAAAUUCUUUCACCGGGGACGAUAAUGACGGUACCCGGAGAAGAAGCCCCGGCUAACUUCGUGCCAGCAGCCGCGGUAACAC
Molecule: ribosomal RNA, 450 nt
Filed under: uncultured bacterium
Lineage: Bacteria
Description: bacterial SSU rRNA
Rfam family: Bacterial small subunit ribosomal RNA
Source: RNAcentral